RNAcentral lists this small RNA (29 nucleotides) under Arabidopsis thaliana (thale cress). RNAcentral's name for it is "ATSL295860". The record is from RNAcentral. Lineage: Eukaryota; Viridiplantae; Streptophyta; Magnoliopsida; Brassicales; Brassicaceae.
CAGGUUCGAAUCCUGCCGUUCACGCUUUU